Tachysurus vachellii is the source of this 246-nucleotide long non-coding RNA. RefSeq lists it as uncharacterized. The transcript has 3 exons. The record is from RefSeq and is a predicted model, not a curated record. NCBI's taxonomy places the organism in Eukaryota, Metazoa, Chordata, Actinopteri, Siluriformes, Bagridae.
AUGCAACUGCAAUUUUCAACUUGACCUUCAGUAUAAAUGAAACCUUUGUUCCAACACUGGCCAAUACCAGCUCCUCAGAGUUUGCAAAAAAUGCUACAAAUAUCUGUUAUCAGGUUGAACCAUUAUACAAGAAAGCAUUUAAUAACUUCAUUCUCAUGCAAAUUCUAAACUUCAGGAGUGGUUCUACUAUCACAGAAAGCAAACUUUAUAUGGAUUCUAGUGGCCCAGAUGUUACUGUAACCCAAG